This 2569-nucleotide long non-coding RNA is filed under the name Homo sapiens (human). Its description in RNAcentral is "HSALNT0131139". The record is from RNAcentral. Lineage: Eukaryota; Metazoa; Chordata; Mammalia; Primates; Hominidae.
GAGACAGACGCUCCCAGGUGUUCUGUAUUCAGGUCACCUCUGGGUGCAGGGUGGCUGCUGCUCCCCUGGGCUCUGUGUCCCAGGUCCUGCGAUGCCUGACAAAGGCUGCAGCCAGAUCACUGGGGCACAUGCGAGGAGGAAACAGAAUGGACAGGCCGCAACAUGCCAAGCCACUAAAAGGAUUGACGCUUUAUUCUUCAGAGGAGAAAUACCAUUGUGGGGUCUACGGACCUCUAUCUAAGGCUUGUUAAAACAAAACAGAGAUGCUUAUGCUCUGGAAAGACGCCCGGGAUCCACUGGGCAGAAUGGCAAAGGAAAGAUCCCCAGCACGGAGCUCAGACAGAUGUCCUCGGCGGAGCUGAGUGCGGGGGUACAGGGUGUGGGGGUGCAUCAGUUGUGCUCUGACAGGUGCACAGGGUCCCCUUUCCCUUUGGCACCUCGGCUGCCUGUGCUUCUGGACCAACUGCCUGUUGAGAAAGCCUCUCUGUGUCCAGAAGUGAACUAUGAAAGGCCCUGAGUGGAUGGACUAUAUGCAAGGCACAGGAAGGAGGCCAAGCCCUCAGGAGUGGCAUCCAUGUGCAUUUGGGGCAGAGUGACGACUGGAAAAGACUGACCACGGCCCAGGCUCCCUGCCUUUCAGCUGCCAGUCUGCUGGGAAGUCACUUCCAUGAGGGUGGGGAGAGGUGAUGGCUAUUGACACCCAAGUUACACCUACCAAUGACCCAGUGGCUUCGGGCCUCACAGGCAGUGAGUGGACAUCUAGGCACCUGGAAUGCACCUCUAGGGCUCUGUGCCCGGGCUCUGAACAAGGAGAGAAGCCGCCGGCCCUCCUCCUGACCACUUCACCUCCGGCAGGAGACUAAUGAUGCACCUAAGUUAAUUCACUCGACUCUGGGACUAUGAGGCAGUUCAUCCACACGCUCCAAACUCCAGCUUAUUGUAGGAGACCAGUGCCUCGAUCUCAUGAGGUCAUCUCGACGCCUCAGCUGUAACCCUUGGAGAACCUGUGGUCUCUGCUCCUCUGCCUGCUGACAUGAUCAUCCCAGGUGCAAAACAGGUAUGAGCCACUGGCAUUCCUGCGCGCCAGUCUUCCAUCCUCUUUUCCUCGAGGGACCCACCGGCCAACCAGAUGUGCUGUUGUCCUGAGAACUGGCUCCACAUUUUGUGAGAUGUUUAAAGUCCAGGGAGGUCACUUAUAAGGAGGCACCUCUGUUCUCCAGGUGCACACACAAAGCCUCCCGUUAUCCGGUCUUGCACGUGCGUCCUUAGGGGCCAGCACCCUGGCUGCCUUCCAGAGUCUGCCCGGCUUUUCCAUCCCAUCUCUGCUCCCGAAGGCAUCCCGCUGCGGUCCUGGGCAUCUUGCACAGAAGCCCCUGCAAAUACCUACUUACAUAAGCCACGUACACGUUCUGUGCUAUUCCACGGUGGCUCUUGGUGCAAUUUGUUUUUAUUUCCUGCAAGCAGACUUUUCUUAUUACUUAACCUUUUUGGCCCCACAUUUCUUUAAUCUGCAAAAUGUGGCAAUGGAACCCGAUCAGAGAUCUUCAAAGCGAGUCCCCAGAGUCUCUUGAGAAGCCGCUAUUUCCAUAUUGGGCUUCCCAGUAAGUUUCCUUUUGAAGAAGGGGCUCUGUGGCUUAAAACAAGUUUGAAAACAUUUGGAUUAGCGGAUCUUGGAACUUCUUUCUGCUCUAACAUUCUGUGAAUCUAAAAACAUUCCUGACAUCGUCUAGCUGGAAGCUCUUAGUUCCAUGAAUUAUUUAAGAAUUAUUUUACUGCUGUCAUUAUGCUUACUGUUUUCUCCUUGUAUUCCUGUCCUCGUGAACACGGAGUGCCACCAACCAAACCUCAGGACCCGAGAAGCAUCCUAACGUGGCUGCUGGGUCCCUGGAGUGCCCUGCAAGUGGAGACGCUGCCUACUCAGUUUUUAAACUAAAUGAACAAUUUUUAAAAAAAUGUAAGAUCGCUUGGGGGAAUGUGAAUAUAAGAGUCUUAUUUUCUUUGCUUUGAAAUGGAAAUGAUAGAAAAGGAAGUGAGAAAAAAGAAAUGAACACAGAUGUUGGGUCUUGGCUAAUCAUUGUUCUAGAAAACCUCACCAAUACUGGGGAAAGGAAAGAAAUGAGCAAUGAUACUCAUACUAAUAGAGUAAACGUGGUUUAGUUUUCCCUCCAUACCAGCUGUGGAAGUGAAAGAAAUACAGAGAUUUUGUCAGGUUUAAGUUGAAAGCGGAACACAAAGUCUCAUUCUUUCAGAAGAUAAAGGGCCACACUAUACAAGACCAACUGAGGAAAAAGUAACAAGGAAGAGCGCCUCGCCCACCAGAAAUUGCCACAAAUUCUGUCACUGGCCCAGGGACAGAAAAAUACUCCCAUGCUGGUACCCACACUCUACCUGCCCCCACCCCCAGAGCUGGCUCAGCAGUGGGAUGAACUGUGGCUCCUGGGCGCUCAAUUCCAGCCCAUCCCAAAUGCACAUCCCACGUGUGUGUGCGUGCAUGCACGUGAAUGUGUCUGUAUGCAUACACGUGUGAACAUGCAUGUAUGCAUGUGUGCGUGCAUGUGUGAAUGUGCCU